CAUUGAGCCAAACCACAACCGACCCGUCUUUGCGGAGAGAGAGGGAGAGAGCUCCUCGAGAAUUCUAUAAUAGGAAACCCACGAUCCCCAACCGCAAACCUCUCUCUCUUCAAUUUACUCGCUCCUGUUUCACUGUCUCAGUUCGCUAAUCGAUUCUAUCUUCUUCAGUUUUUAUUCUUGAUUGAUUCCUCUUCCGUUUCAUAAUGAAAAAGAGAGCUAGAACCACUCCCGAUAAGGCGGUGCCCAAUGUUUGGCAACGGGAGGUUGGUGAGCUCUCCACCCGGAAUUUCGCUCACCGUCUCGCUGCAUCUGAGGAUCUUGUACUGCGACUUGAUAUAUACAAGAAGCUAGAGAAGCACAGAGGCUGUGUAAAUACGGUAAGCUUCAAUGCUGAUGGUGACAUUCUGGUGUCAGGUUCUGAUGACAGGCGGGUCAUACUCUGGGAUUGGGAAACUGGGCGUAUCAAGCUUUCUUUCCAUUCUGGUCAUAAUAACAAUGUUUUUCAAGCCAAAAUAAUGCCUUACACAGAUGAUCGAAGUAUUGUUACAUGUGCUGCAGAUGGUCAGGUUCGACAUGCUCAGAUUCUGGAGCGUGGAGCAGUGGAGACUGCGUUGCUAGCAAAACACCAAGGACGAGCUCAUAAGUUGGCUAUUGAGCCUGGGAGCCCUCAUAUAUUUUAUACUUGUGGCGAGGAUGGAUUGGUUCAACAUUUUGAUCUGAGAACUAGGCGUGCCAUGGAACUUUUCACUUGCCAACCAAUUGCUGAUAGGAGGAAUUACAUGCCAGUCGUCCAUCUAAAUGCAAUUGCAAUUGAUCCAAGGAACCCAAAUCUCUUUGCAGUUGCAGGGUCAGAUGAGUAUACUCGAGUUUAUGAUAUCCGCAUGUAUAAGUGGGAUGCUUCAACUGAAUUUGGUCGACCUACAGAUUACUUUUGUCCUUCACAUUUGAUUGGUGAUGAGAAAGUUGGAAUAACAGGCUUGUCAUUCUCAGACCAGAGUGAGCUUCUAGUCUCAUAUAAUGAUGAGUUCAUCUAUCUUUUCAUGCGAGACAUGGGAUUUGGUCCCAAUCCAGACCCAUCCUCUCGAGUUCCCAUGGGCAGUGAUGCAAGUGAAAUGAGGCCUAUGGAUGCUGAUGAAAAAACUGCGCCCCAAGUAUACAAAGGACAUCGAAAUUGUGAGACUGUGAAAGGGGUGAGCUUCUUUGGGCCUGGAUGCGAGUAUGUGGCGAGUGGAUCAGACUGUGGUCGGAUAUUCAUUUGGAAGAAAAAGGGUGGAGAGCUCAUUCGUGUAAUGGAAGCAGAUAAGCAUGUGGUCAACUGCAUUGAACCUCAUCCUCAUGCCACUGUGCUUGCUAGUAGUGGAAUUGAGACUGAUAUAAAGAUAUGGACUCCAAAAGCCCUUGAGAGAGCAACUCUGCCUACAAACAUUGAACAGCUGAAACCGAAGGCUAGGAGCAGGAGCUUGAUGUACCCUGUAGCUUCACCACUGGACCUGAUGUUGCAACUAUUUUCUUUGCGAAGGCGGAGAAAUAGCCCAGAGCGUAAUGAAGAGAGCUCAGCUGCUGGUAGAGAUCUUCUAGAGUUUAUAUUGACAUUCAAUGCCAACAGUGAUUCAGAUGAUGGAGGUGAUUCAUCAAGUCGUGAUGACUUGUUUGGCUAGGAGAUAAUUGGCUGCCUUUGGCCUAUAAGAACCAUAGUAAUUGUACAUAACAUAUUGUAUAAGUCAAGCUAUUUUGUGAAGCCUCACAAAUUUUAAUGCCUAAGUGGCUAUUUUAUUCAAGUUUUUUAAUGAAUGAGAAAAC
RNAcentral lists this unclassified non-coding RNA (1800 nucleotides) under Hevea brasiliensis (rubber tree). Lineage: Eukaryota; Viridiplantae; Streptophyta; Magnoliopsida; Malpighiales; Euphorbiaceae. The record is from RNAcentral.